UUGUAUCUCAAUGUCACAUCUUAUCAGAGCAUUGUGUUACAUCGUUCUCUAGCAUGAGGUUCUCCAUAGUCAUCCACCUAAUCAUCUGCUUCCACGAACACAAAGUUCGAGAUCAUCACAAGAUCCAAACACAAAUAGCACACAGGGAGUGAGUUAUCACAUUUCUCACUAAUAGAGAGAAAUGGGACAACAUAGAUAUACACAUCAUAUAAAUGAAAUACAACUUACUUUAACACAGCUCAU
This 243-nucleotide long non-coding RNA is filed under the name Glycine max (soybean). RNAcentral describes it as "long non-coding RNA (GMAX_LNC004194)". The record is from RNAcentral. Lineage: Eukaryota; Viridiplantae; Streptophyta; Magnoliopsida; Fabales; Fabaceae.